This 422-nucleotide ribosomal RNA is filed under the name uncultured bacterium. RNAcentral describes it as "bacterial SSU rRNA". It matches the Rfam family "Bacterial small subunit ribosomal RNA", at positions 362 to 776 of the family's 1533-position model. The record is from RNAcentral.
UCUUCCACAAUGGGCGAAAGCCUGAUGGAGCAACGCCGCGUGGGUGAAGAAGGUCUUCGGAUCGUAAAACCCUGUUGUUAGAGAAGAAAGUGCGUGAGAGUAACUGUUCACGUUUCGAAGGUAUCUAACCAGAACGCCACGGCUAACUACGUGCCAGCAGCCGCGGUAAUACGUAGGUGGCAGGCGUUACCCGGAUUUAUUAGGCGUAAAGGGAACGCAGGCGGUCUUUUAAGUCUGAUGUGAAAGCCUUCGGCUUAACCGGAGUAGUGCAUUGGAAACUGGGAGACUUGAGUGCAGAAGAGGAGAGUGGAACUCCAUGUGUAGCGGUGAAAUGCGUAGAUAUAUGGAAGAACACCAGUGGCGAGAGCGGCUCUCUGGUCUGUAACUGACGCUGAGGUUCGAAAGCGUGGGUAGCAAACAGG